GGGUCAUUAGGUUGGUCGUGCCACCGGUACGUACUGGUCUCACUGAUUCCUCCUUCCUGAAGAACCGUAAUGCCAUUAAUUUGGUGUUGCGGGGAAACAGGACUGUUACUUUGAAAAAAUUAGAGUGUUUAAAGCAAGCUAACGCUUGAAUACAUUAGCAUGGAAUAAUGAAAUAGGACGAUCGAUCCUAUUUUGUUGGUUCCUAGGAUUGACGUA
This 216-nucleotide ribosomal RNA is filed under the name Glomeromycotina sp. Its description in RNAcentral is "partial small subunit ribosomal RNA". The stretch from base 40 to 216 matches the Rfam family "Eukaryotic small subunit ribosomal RNA", at positions 686 to 864 of the family's 1831-position model. The record is from RNAcentral. Lineage: Eukaryota; Fungi; Glomeromycota.